Molecule: ribosomal RNA, 403 nt
Filed under: bacterium
Lineage: Bacteria
Description: partial 16S ribosomal RNA
Rfam family: Bacterial small subunit ribosomal RNA
Source: RNAcentral
UGGGGAAUAUUGCACAAUGGGGGAAACCCUGAUGCAGCGACGCCGCGUGAACGAAGAAGGUAUUCGUAUCGUAAAGUUCUGUCCUAUGGGAAGAUAAUGACAGUACCAUAGAAGAAAGCUCCGGCUAAAUACGUGCCAGCAGCCGCGGUAAUACGUAUGGAUCGAGCGUUGUCCGGAAUUAUUGGGCGUAAAGGGUACGCAGGCGGUUUAAUAAGUCGAAUGUUAAAGAUCGGGGCUAAACCCCGUAAAGCAUUGAAAACUGAUAAACUUGAGUAGUGGAGAGGAAAGUGGAAUUCCUAGUGUAGUGGUGAAAUACGUAGAUAUUAGGAGGAAUACCAGUAUCGAAGACGACUUGCUUGACACAAACUAACGCUGAGGUACGAAAGCGUGGGGAGCAAACAGG